Molecule: transfer RNA, 52 nt
Filed under: Parasteatoda cingulata
Lineage: Eukaryota; Metazoa; Arthropoda; Arachnida; Araneae; Theridiidae
Description: tRNA-Leu
Source: RNAcentral
AAUAUUAGCAAAUAAGUGCAUUAGAAUUAGAAUCUAAAAUUUCUUAAAAUUA